Molecule: ribosomal RNA, 490 nt
Filed under: uncultured bacterium
Lineage: Bacteria
Description: partial 16S ribosomal RNA
Rfam family: Bacterial small subunit ribosomal RNA
Source: RNAcentral
AUUGAACGCUGGCGGCAGGCCUAACACAUGCAAGUCGAACGGUAACAGGAAGAAGCUUGCUUCUUUGCUGACGAGUGGCGGACGGGUGAGUAAUGUCUGGGAAACUGCCUGAUGGAGGGGGAUAACUACUGGAAACGGUAGCUAAUACCGCAUAACGUCGCAAGACCAAAGAGGGGGACCUUCGGGCCUCUUGCCAUCGGAUGUGCCCAGAUGGGAUUAGCUAGUAGGUGGGGUAACGGCUCACCUAGGCGACGAUCCCUAGCUGGUCUGAGAGGAUGACCAGACACACUGGAACUGAGACACGGGCCAGACUCCUACGGGAGGCAGCAGUGGGGAAUAUUGGACAAUGGGCGCAAGCCUGAUGCAGCCAUGCCGCGUGUAUGAAGAAGGCCUUCGGGUUGUAAAGUACUUUCAGAGGGGAGGAAGGGAGUAAAGUUAAUACCGUUGCUCAAUGACGUUACCCGCAGAAGAAGCACCGGCUAACUCCGUG